GGCUGGUCCAAAGGUAGAGUUAUCUCACUUGAUUGUUCACAGUCAGUUACAGAUUGAACUCCUUGUUCUACUCUUUACCCCCUUCUCACUAUUGCACUUGGCUAGUCUAAA
Otolemur garnettii (small-eared galago) is the source of this 111-nucleotide unclassified non-coding RNA. It matches the Rfam family "Y RNA". Rfam says of the family: Y RNAs are components of the Ro ribonucleoprotein particle (Ro RNP), in association with Ro60 and La proteins. The Y RNAs and Ro60 and La proteins are well conserved, but the function of the Ro RNP is not known. The record is from Ensembl. Lineage: Eukaryota; Metazoa; Chordata; Mammalia; Primates; Galagidae.